Molecule: small RNA, 178 nt
Filed under: Gopherus agassizii (Agassiz's desert tortoise)
Lineage: Eukaryota; Metazoa; Chordata; Testudines; Testudinidae
Description: TUC338 (ENSGAGG00000005160.1)
Source: RNAcentral
AAAGCAAUGCUGGAUACUGACAUCCUUUAUUUUGCCUCACAGUGGGUGCAGUAUAGGCAGCAGCAGUGCAAUCAUCUGGAAACUGCCCCGCUACUGGGCCUCAGCCCAGGCCUGAAGGCACCAGAUUAAGGUGAAGAGGCUAAUUCAGUCUCCAGGGAUGUUUCCAACCCUAGCUUUG